AGAACGAACGCUGGCGGCAUGCCUAAUACAUGCAAGUCGAACGAAUGCCCUUCGGGGUGUUAGUGGCGCACGGGUGCGUAACGCGUGGGAAUCUGCCCUUGGGUUCGGAAUAACAGUUAGAAAUGACUGCUAAUACCGGAUGAUGACGUAAGUCCAAAGAUUUAUCGCCCAGGGAUGAGCCCGCGUAGGAUUAGCUAGUUGGUGGGGUAAAGCCUACAAGGCGACGAUCCUUAGCUGGUCUGAGAGG
This 247-nucleotide ribosomal RNA is filed under the name uncultured soil bacterium. RNAcentral describes it as "partial 16S ribosomal RNA". It matches the Rfam family "Bacterial small subunit ribosomal RNA", at positions 26 to 299 of the family's 1533-position model. The record is from RNAcentral.